UACGUAGGGGGCAAGCGUUGUCCGGAAUCAUUGGGCGUAAAGCGCGUGUAGGCGGUUCAGUAAGUCUGCUGUGAAAGGCCAGGGCUCAACCCUGGGAUGCCGGUGGAUACUGCUGGGCUAGAGUACGGAAGAGGCGAGUGGAAUUCCCGGUGUAGCGGUGAAAUGCGCAGAUAUCGGGAGGAACACCAAUUGCGAAGGCAGCUCGCUGGGACGUUACUGACGCUGAGACGCGAAAGCGUGGGGAGCAAACAGG
RNAcentral lists this ribosomal RNA (253 nucleotides) under uncultured bacterium. RNAcentral describes it as "partial 16S ribosomal RNA". It matches the Rfam family "Bacterial small subunit ribosomal RNA", at positions 524 to 776 of the family's 1533-position model. The record is from RNAcentral.